RNAcentral lists this ribosomal RNA (331 nucleotides) under uncultured Prevotella sp. RNAcentral's name for it is "bacterial SSU rRNA". It matches the Rfam family "Bacterial small subunit ribosomal RNA", at positions 28 to 339 of the family's 1533-position model. The record is from RNAcentral. Lineage: Bacteria; Pseudomonadati; Bacteroidota; Bacteroidia; Bacteroidales; Prevotellaceae.
GAUGAACGCUGGCGGCGUGCCUAACACAUGCAAGUCGAACGGAGAUUUAACGCUGAUGAGGCUUCGGCGGAUUCUUGUUAAAUCUUAGUGGCGGACGGGUGAGUAACGCGUAUCCAACCUUCCCCUUAGUAGAGGAUAGCCCGGCGAAAGUCGGAUUAAUACUCUAUGUUCUUUCUGGAUGGCAUCUGAUGGAAAGCAAAGGUUCACCGCUAAGGGAUGGGGAUGCGUCUGAUUAGCUUGUUGGCGGGGUAACGGCCCACCAAGGCGACGAUCAGUAGGGGUUCUGAGAGGAAGGUCCCCCACAUUGGUACUGAGACACGGACCAAACUCC